Molecule: ribosomal RNA, 253 nt
Filed under: uncultured bacterium
Lineage: Bacteria
Description: partial 16S ribosomal RNA
Rfam family: Bacterial small subunit ribosomal RNA
Source: RNAcentral
UACGUAGGGGGCAAGCGUUGUUCGGAAUUACUGGGCGUAAAGGGCGCGUAGGCGGCACGGCAAGUCGGGAGUGAAAGCCCGGGGCUCAACCCCGGAGGGUCUUCCGAAACUGCCGAGCUAGAGUGCGGAAGAGGCAACCGGAAUUCCCAGUGUAGCGGUGAAAUGCGUAGAGAUGUGGAGGAACACCAGUGGCGAAGGCGACUCUUUGGCCUGUAACUGACGCUGAGGCGCGAAAGCGUGGGGAGCAAACAGG